CGGGAAAUGGGGAUAAUACCCUAUAGACUAUGGAUGCUGGAAUGCUUCGUAGUUGAAAGGUCCGCCGCUGUAGGAUGGGUCUGCGGCCGAUUAGGUUGUUGUUGGGGUAACGGCCCAACAAGCCUGUAAUCGGUACGGGUUGUGGGAGCAAGAGCCCGGAGAUGGAUUCUGAGACACGAAUCCAGGCCCUACGGGGCGCAGCAGGCGCGAAAACUUUGCAAUGCGGGAAACCGGGACAAGGGAACUCUGAGUGCCCGUAAAAUCGGGCUGUCCAUCGGUUUAAAAAACCGGUGAAGAAAGGGCCGGGCAAGACCGGUGCCAGCCGCCGCGGUAACA
RNAcentral lists this ribosomal RNA (336 nucleotides) under uncultured archaeon. Its description in RNAcentral is "partial 16S ribosomal RNA". It matches the Rfam family "Archaeal small subunit ribosomal RNA", at positions 133 to 475 of the family's 1478-position model. The record is from RNAcentral.